Molecule: ribosomal RNA, 219 nt
Filed under: uncultured bacterium
Lineage: Bacteria
Description: partial 16S ribosomal RNA
Rfam family: Bacterial small subunit ribosomal RNA
Source: RNAcentral
AGCGAACGCUGGCGGCGUGCUUAACACAUGCAAGUCGAGCGAAGGUGUUUCAAGGGUAACCUUGAGAUACACUUAGCGGCGGACGGGUGAGUAAUACGUGGAUAACUUACCUCUAGGCCUGGGAUAACCCCGGGAACGUGGGGCGUAAUACCUGAUAAGACCACAUUGUCUACGGACAAAGGGGUAAAGGUAGGCUGUGCAAACAGCUAUCGCCAAAAG